ACAUUUUUUUCAAAUUGUUCAAAGAACAAUAAACUAGCUUUUUUUUUUUAUUUCUUUGGUGUCAAAGUGCAGUGCUUGAAGCCCUUUUGAGGAAGUAACUAUACACAGCUUACAUUAAAAAGCACUCGAGUAUCCGGCACGAGGCAGGACAAGUACUUGUAUAAACGUAAGU
This is a non-coding RNA of Drosophila virilis, 172 nucleotides long. The record is from RefSeq and is a predicted model, not a curated record. Lineage: Eukaryota; Metazoa; Arthropoda; Insecta; Diptera; Drosophilidae.